RNAcentral lists this ribosomal RNA (1508 nucleotides) under uncultured phyllopharyngid ciliate. RNAcentral's name for it is "SSU rRNA". It matches the Rfam family "Eukaryotic small subunit ribosomal RNA", at positions 106 to 1727 of the family's 1831-position model. Lineage: Eukaryota; Ciliophora; Phyllopharyngea. The record is from RNAcentral.
ACAGUCAUAAUUUACUUGAUUGUUUUCUUACAUGGAUAACCGUGGGAAACUAGGGCUAAUACAUGCGUAAAACCCUCACGGGUUGUAUUUAUUAGUUUCAAAUCAAUACGGGUCUUCCGUAUUAGAGGAACCAUAGUAACUGAUCGAAGCGCAGCAUUUGCGCUAAAUCAUCUAAGUUUCUGCCCCAUCAGCUAGAUGGUAGUGUAUUGGACUACCAUGGCAUUUACGGGUAACGGAGAAUUAGGGUUCGAUUCCGGAGAGGGCGCAUGAGAAAUGGCGACCAUUUCUACGGAAGGCAGCAGGCGCGUAAAUUACCCAAUCCUGACUCAGGGAGGUAGUUAAUGGACAUAACAAUUCCGGCCUUUUAGGUUCUGGAAAGGUAAUGAUUGCAAUUUAAAUCCUUGCAUGAAAUCUAUUGGAGGGCAAGUCUGGUGCCAGCAGCCGCGGUAAUUCCAGCUCCAAUAGCGUAAAUCAUAGUUGCUGCUGUUAAAAAGCUCGUAGUUGAAAUUCCGGCCCGCAAGGGCCUGCCUGAUACGUCUGUCGAUACCGACCGGUUUUGGCAGGAGUUCGGGCGUUUACUGUGACCAAAAUAGGGUGCUUAAAGCAGGCUUUUGCUUGAAUAAUUUAGCAUGGAAUAAUGAAAUACGACUCAGUUCAUUUUAUUGGUUAUUGAAUCGAGUAAUGAUUAACAGAAACAGUUGGGGGCAUUCGUAUUUGGUAGUCAGAGGCAAAAUUCUUAGAUUUAUCAAAGACGAACUAAAGCGAAAGCAUUUGCCAAGAAUGUUUUCAUUAAUCAAGAACGAAAGUUAGGGGAUCAAAGACGAUCAGAUACCGUCGUAGUCCUAACCAUAAACUAUACCGACUAGGGAUUGGUGAGGUAAACCCUCAUCAGCACCUAAUGAGAAAUCAAAGUCUUUGGGUUCAGGGGGGGGUAUGGUCGCAAGGCUGAAACUUAAAGGAAUAGGCGGAAAUGCACCACCAGGAGUGGAUUCUGCGGCUUAAUUUGAUUCAACACGGGAAAACUUACCAAGGCAUAAAAUUGAUAGGAUUGACAGCUUGAUAGCACUUUCUUGAUCCGAUAGCAAGUCGUGCAUGGCCGUUCUUAGUUGGUGGAGUGAUCUGUCAGGUUAAUUCCCUUAACGAACGAGAUCCUGGCCUACUAAAUAGGCGUGGUUAAUACCUAGCCAUGGCCUUCUUAGAGGGACUACUAGCGAUGAGUUAGUGGAAGUUCGGGGCAAUAACAGGUCCGUAAUGCGCUUUGAUGUCUUGGGCGGCACGCGUAAUACACUGAUGCAUGCAAUAGGUUUCCUAACCUGAAAAGGGAUGGGCAAUCUUCUUAAUGUGCAUCGUGAUUGGGAUAGAACAUUGCAAUUAUUGUUCUUGAACGAGGAAUUCCUAGUAAGUGUGAGUCAUCAUCUCACGCUGAUUACGUCCAUGCAUUUUGCACUCACCGCCCGCCACUAUCACUGAUGAGUAGUUUGGCGAGUUCUUCGGAUUAUUCUCCUCCG